Molecule: ribosomal RNA, 497 nt
Filed under: uncultured bacterium
Lineage: Bacteria
Description: partial 16S ribosomal RNA
Rfam family: Bacterial small subunit ribosomal RNA
Source: RNAcentral
GAUGAACGCUGGCGGCGUGCCUAAUACAUGCAAGUCGAGCGAACGGACGAGAAGCUUGCUUCUCUGAUGUUAGCGGCGGACGGGUGAGUAACACGUGGAUAACCUACCUAUAAGACUGGGAUAACUUCGGGAAACCGGAGCUAAUACCGGAUAAUAUUUUGAACCGCAUGGUUCAAAAGUGAAAGACGGUCUUGCUGUCACUUAUAGAUGGAUCCGCGCUGCAUUAGCUAGUUGGUAAGGUAACGGCUUACCAAGGCAACGAUGCAUAGCCGACCUGAGAGGGUGAUCGGCCACACUGGAACUGGAACACGGUCCAGACUCCUACGGGAGGCAGCAGUAGGGAAUCUUCCGCAAAGGGCGAAAGCCUGACGGAGCAACGCCGCGUGAGUGAUGAAGGUCUUCGGAUCGUAAAACUCUGUUAUUAGGGAAGAACAUAUGUGUAAGUAACUGUGCACAUCUUGACGGUACCUAAUCAGAAAGCCACGGCUAACUACGUG